This 1902-nucleotide long non-coding RNA is filed under the name Homo sapiens (human). RNAcentral's name for it is "HSALNT0032973". Lineage: Eukaryota; Metazoa; Chordata; Mammalia; Primates; Hominidae. The record is from RNAcentral.
CAGGGAUGGAGGGGAUGAGGAAUGAGGAGGGAGCAUUUAAUGGGCACAGUUUCCGUAUGGGAUGAUGAAAGAGUUCUGGAGAAGGAUGGUAGUGAUGGUCACGCAACAGUGUCAAUACACUUAGUGCCACUGAACUGUAUACUUAACGAUACAUUUCAUGUUAUGUAUAUUUUGCCCCAAUAAAACAAUUACAACUUUGCUUUUAUUCUCUAAUUUUGUUGUGCAGAUUGACAUUUGAAAGCCACUGCUCAGAAUGAAGUAAUCUCCGAUGUCUUAGAUAGAGGAAGGAAGGCCUGUGGAUGCAGCCUAGAACCUUGUGAUGAGGACAAGCAGGUUAACAUACAAGGAAACUGAUGCAUGCAGAGAUUAAAUACCUUGCUAAAUACCUUGCUCAAGAUCUCGAAGACACAGCAGGAACAAAAGAGAAACCUGGCCAUUGCACCAGGAUAAGCAGUGUGAUACACAGAGAAGUCUGAGAGUGAAGAGACCUGAAUUCUUGUGUUGAUUCUGCCAUUACUUUGACAUGAAAUGUUGGACAAGGCAAUAUGCCACCACAGGCCUUACUUUUCUACUCUACAGGGAUUGCAAUGCUUUUUUGGACCUCAGAGGGUUGAGGUUAGCACAAAAUAUGUGAAGGAUUUGAAAAGAAUUAAACUCUAUAUUAAUGUAAAUAUUACCAAGUCUUUUUAGAAUCCCUGCUAGCAUAAAGUGUGUGUGUGUGUGGUGUGUGUUUGUGGUGGAAGCUGGGGGAGAGUAAAGAAACUUCUCAAUGGCUAUCCUGGAUCAAACAUAUUUGAAUUAUAUUUCUGUGUGUCUGUAAGCACACACGUUAUAAUUCUGUGCCUGUGGGAUGGAGAGUGUAGAUGGGAAUGCAGAAGGAUAUAAGAUACUACCUUACAUUUCAGGGACUUGAUGCCUUUGUAAUGUAUACAUAGACUCAAUUUUCUAAGCACUACUAUCUACCCAGUUAUGCAUAUUCUGGGCACAAAACCAGAUAGGAUUUCUCCAUUUCUGGUAUCUGCAGAAAAACAGAAAUAUCUAGAUUGAUAGUUGCUAUGGUUUGAACGUCCUCUCAUAAAUUCACGUUGAAAUCUAAUUGCCGUUGUGAUGGUAUUAAGAGAUGGGACCAUUAAGAGACAGUUAGACCAUGAGGUCCCAUCCUCACAAAUGUAUUAAUGACAUUAUUGUGAAAGUGGGUUGGUUAUUGUGGGGGUGGUUUCCCAGGUGAGUUUGGCCAACUCCCUCUGUCUGGUAUGCUUGCUUGCCCUUCCACCUUCUUCCAUAGGAUGGCUCAGCAUGAAGGUACUCCCCAGAUGCCAGUGCCAUGCUCUUGGAUUUCUCAGUCUCCAGAACCAUGAACCAAAUAAACUUCUGUUCAUUAUAAAUUACUCAGACUCAGGCAAUCUGUUAUAGAAGCAGAAAAUAGACUAAGGCAAUAAUUUAAUAUAGAACUCAGUGAAGAUAAAAAUAAAAUCAUCUACCAGUACACACUUAUCAGAAUGGCCAAAACCUAGAACAUUGACAACACCAAAUGCUGGCCAGAAUGUGGAGCAACAGGAGUUCUCAUUCAUUGCUGGUAGAAAUGAAAAAUGGUACAGCCACUUUGGGAGAAAGUUCAGUAGUUUCUUUCACAAAACGAAAUACAUCUUUACCAUAUGAUCCAAUAAUCAAAUUCCUUGGUAUUUACCCAAAGAAGUAGAAAACGUUCACACAAAAACCUGCACACAGAUGAUUAUAGCAGUUUUGUGUAUAAUUUCAAAAACUUGAGAACAACCAAGAUGUCCUUCAGUAAGUGAAUGGGAUAAACUAGUACAUCCAGACAAUGGAUUUACUAAUGAAAACUUUACAUUUCAAGUCAUGAAAAAACAUGGAGGAGCCUUGAAUGCAUAUUACAAAGUGAAA